GACGAACGCUGGCGGCGUGCUUAACACAUGCAAGUCGAACGAAGAGCGACGGAAGCUUGCUUCUAUCAAUCUUAGUGGCGAACGGGUGAGUAACGCGUAAUCAACCUGCCCUUCAGAGGGGGACAACAGUUGGAAACGACUGCUAAUACCGCAUACGAUCUAACCUCGGCAUCGAGGAUAGAUGAAAGGUGGCCUCUACAUGUAAGCUGUCACUGAAGAAGGGGAUUGCGUCUGAUUAGCUAGUUGGAGGGGUAACGGCCCACCAAGGCGAUGAUCAGUAGCCGGUCUGAGAGGAUGAACGGCCACAUUGGGACUGAGACACGGCCCAGACUCCUACGGGAGGCAGCAGUGGGGAAUCUUCCGCAAUGGACGAAAGUCUGACGGAGCAACGCCGCGUGAGUGAUGACGGCCUUCGGGUUGUAAAGCUCUGUUAAUCGGGACGAAAGGCCUUCUUGCGAAUAGUGAGAAGGAUUGACGGUACCGGAAUAGAAAGCCACGGCUAACUACGUG
Molecule: ribosomal RNA, 510 nt
Filed under: uncultured bacterium
Lineage: Bacteria
Description: partial 16S ribosomal RNA
Rfam family: Bacterial small subunit ribosomal RNA
Source: RNAcentral